Molecule: transfer RNA, 65 nt
Filed under: marine sediment metagenome
Description: tRNA-Arg
Rfam family: tRNA
About the family: Transfer RNA (tRNA) molecules are approximately 80 nucleotides in length. Their secondary structure includes four short double-helical elements and three loops (D, anti-codon, and T loops). Further hydrogen bonds mediate the characteristic L-shaped molecular structure. tRNAs have two regions of fundamental functional importance: the anti-codon, which is responsible for specific mRNA codon recognition, and the 3' end, to which the tRNAs corresponding amino acid is attached (by aminoacyl-tRNA synthetases). tRNAs cope with the degeneracy of the genetic code in two manners: having more than one tRNA (with a specific anti-codon) for a particular amino acid; and 'wobble' base-pairing, i.e. permitting non-standard base-pairing at the 3rd anti-codon position.
Source: RNAcentral
GCAUAGCUCAGCUGGAUAGAGUACUCGGCUACGAACCGAGCGGUCGGAGGUUCGAAUCCUCCUGC